UACAAUGUUCUCUUAGUUCUGCUCUCUUCACUUAGCAUUAAUUCCUGCAAGCCUUAACAUACUCUUCAAAAAUCAGCCUGCUCAUUAUUUCAUACAGAACAGUCAUUUUCUAUUAAUUCUGGACCAUAACUUAUUCAGCCAUCCCCUAGACGAUGGGGAUCUGCUCAAUUUCAAAUUCCUUGUCACCACAAAAAGGGCUGCCUCAAACAUUUUUAUGCCUGUGUCUUUUCCCUUUUUUGCAAUCUCUGGGACACAGACCAGGCAGAGACACUGCUGGAACAAAGGGCAGGCACAGUUGUAUAACCCUUUGAGCAAAGUAGAUUUGAAUCUUUUUGCUCCCAGUAAGCCUGUACCUUCAUGUACUUCCAAAAUGUGCAGAAAAGCAAGGAUUGUUUUUCUUCCAGAAUGAUUUUCCAGGUUUUAGUACCUGUAAAGUAUCUGCUCAAGGCUCCUACCUCUCUUCCUGGAGAACACUUCAGACAUCUGAGGAAAGAUGUGAAUCUUCGGGCCUUUCCAGGAAUUUUAAGAGAUCUAGGAUACCUUCCAAAAUAACUCUAAAAGAGUAUAAGUCUUUGGUUGUAUGCACUCCUCAGCUGUCCAGUUUCUCAAGUGAUUUCCAAAGACAGCAAGAAGAGAAAGAAAAAGAGAAAGAGAAAGAAAUGGAGACAGCAAAAGCAAAAGAGAAAGAGAAAGAAAUGGAGACAGCGAAAGCAAAAGAGAAAGAGAAAGAAAUGGAGAAAGUGAAAGAAAAAGAGAAAAAGAAAGAAAAAAAGAAAAAAGAAAGUUGGAAAUUCUGGAAAUUCUGAGAUGACCAAGAACCCGGCAGAAGCAGCAAAACCAAAGACACCUAAGUAGACAAGAAUGGAUCACACAUCUGGAGAAUGGAUGGAAGACCUGAAGAACAAGAAGCACACACUUGACCACCUUAUGCAGAACUGUUUACCCUUUCCCCUUCCCUCCCCAAACAACUCCCUUUAUGUCACACCCUGGAAAAAGCUUUAAUUAUCCUUCAAAAUUUUGAUUUUUAUUAUUGACGAUACCUUGAGUUCUCUGUAUUAAUGAAACAAAAAGCUAAAUUUCCACCCAAUCCCCAUGUUCAAGUUCACUCUGUAAGGUGUUACCAAAGAAUUUAGCUUAAAACAAAUAGGAAUGAGUUUGCUUCUUUAUCUGUGUAAGUUAGACUUUUUGUAAGAUGCUACCGAAUUAAUAGAAAUAGAUUUAGUUCUUUUCCUGUGGAAGUUAAACUUUGUGAGAUGCUUCCAAAGAAUUGAGCUGCAAACAAAUAGACAUGAGUUUGAUUUUUUCUGUUUGUGAGUUAGGAUUUGUAAGAUGCUACCAAAGAAGGGGCAGCUAGGUGGUGUGGUGGAUAGCGCACCAUCCCUGAGGUCAGGAGGGCCUGACUUCAAAUCUGAUCUGAUACUUAAUACUUCCUGGUUAUGUGACCCUGGGCAAGUCACUUAAC
Sarcophilus harrisii (Tasmanian devil) is the source of this 1462-nucleotide long non-coding RNA. RefSeq lists it as uncharacterized. Lineage: Eukaryota; Metazoa; Chordata; Mammalia; Dasyuromorphia; Dasyuridae. The record is from RefSeq and is a predicted model, not a curated record. The transcript is spliced from 3 exons.